This 471-nucleotide ribosomal RNA is filed under the name uncultured bacterium. Its description in RNAcentral is "SSU rRNA". It matches the Rfam family "Bacterial small subunit ribosomal RNA", at positions 26 to 518 of the family's 1533-position model. The record is from RNAcentral.
AGGACGAACGCUGGCGGCGUGCCUUAUGCAUGCAAGUCGAACGGGUUACCCGCAAGGGUAGCUAGUGGCAGACGGCUGAGUAACACGUGAGCAACCAACCUUUGAGUGGGGAAUAAGCCGCCGAAAGGUGGUCUAAUACCGCAUACGCUUGCUCCUCGCAUGGGGAGCACGGAAAGCCGAAAGGCGCUCUUAGACGGGCUUGCGGCCUAUCAGGUAGUUGGUGAGGUAACGGCCCGCCAAGCCGAAGACGGGUAACUGGUCUGAGAGGACGGCCAGUCAGAAGGGGACUGAGACACGGCCCCUACUCCUACGGGAGGCAGCAGCAGGGAAUCUUGCACAAUGGGCGAAAGCCUGAUGCAGCGACGCCGCGUGAGGGAUGAAGGCCUUCGGGUCGUAAACCUCUUUUCCGAGGGGAAGAGAUAGGACUGUACCGUUGGGAAUAGCCUCGGCUAACUACGUGCCAGCAGCCGC